This 460-nucleotide ribosomal RNA is filed under the name uncultured bacterium. RNAcentral's name for it is "partial 16S ribosomal RNA". It matches the Rfam family "Bacterial small subunit ribosomal RNA", at positions 338 to 795 of the family's 1533-position model. The record is from RNAcentral.
CCUACGGGCGGCAGCAGUGAGGAAUAUUGGUCAAUGGACGAAAGUCUGAACCAGCCAAGUAGCGUGAAGGAUGACUGCCCUAUGGGUUGUAAACUUCUUUUAUAUGGGAAUAAAACGUUUCACGUGUGGGGUUUUGUAUGUACCAUAUGAAUAAGGAUCGGCUAACUCCGUGCCAGCAGCCGCGGUAAUACGGAGGGUCCGAGCGUUAUCCGGAUUUAUUGGGUUUAAAGGGAGCGUAGGUGGAUUGUUAAGUCAGUUGUGAAAGUUUCGGGCUCAACCGGAAAAUUGCAGUUGAAACUGGCAGUCUUGAGUACAGUAGAGGUGGGCGGAAUUCGUGGUGUAGCGGUGAAAUGCUUAGAUAUCACGAAGAACUCCGAUUGCGAAGGCAGUUCACUGGACUGCAACUGACACUGAGGCUCGAAAGUGUGGGUAUCAAACAGGAUUAGAUACCCUUGUAGUC